RNAcentral lists this ribosomal RNA (418 nucleotides) under bacterium enrichment culture clone ALO1_GLFRUDD03G1VUT. RNAcentral describes it as "bacterial SSU rRNA". It matches the Rfam family "Bacterial small subunit ribosomal RNA", at positions 9 to 429 of the family's 1533-position model. The record is from RNAcentral. RNAcentral also lists the same sequence under 1 other name.
GAGUUUGAUCCUGGCUCAGAUUGAACGCUGGCGGCAUGCCUUACACAUGCAAGUCAAACGGCAGCACGGGAGCUUGCUCCUGGUGGCGAGUGGCGAACGGGUGAGUAAUGCAUCGGAACGUAUCCUGGAGUGGGGGAUAACGUAGCGAAAGUUACGCUAAUACCGCAUAUUCUGUGAGCAGGAAAGCGGGGGACCUUCGGGCCUCGCGCUCUUGGAGCGGCCGAUGUCGGAUUAGCUAGUUGGUGAGGUAAAGGCUCACCAAGGCGACGAUCCGUAGCAGGUCUGAGAGGAUGAUCUGCCACACUGGAACUGAGACACGGUCCAGACUCCUACGGGAGGCAGCAGUGGGGAAUUUUGGACAAUGGGGGCAACCCUGAUCCAGCCAUGCCGCGUGAGUGAAGAAGGCCUCGGUUGUAAG